UAACGCGUAUGCAACCUGUCCGUUACAGGGGGAUAGCCCAUGGAAACGUGGAUUAACACUCCAUAAUAUAAUAUAGAGGCAUCUUUGUAUUAUUAAAUAUUCAUAGGUAACGGUUGGGCAUGCGUCCUAUUAGAUAGUUGGGGGGGUAACGGCCCACCAAGUCGAUGAUAGGUAGGGGUUCUGAGAGGAAGGUCCCCCACACUGGUACUGAGACACGGACCAGACUCCUACGGGAGGCAGCAGUGAGGAAUAUUGGUCAAUGGGCGAGAGCCUGAAUCAGCCAAGUCGCGUGAGGGAUGACUGCCCUAUGGGUUGUAAACCUCUUUUGUAUGGGGGGAAUAAGCUUUACGAGUAGAGUGAUGACAGUACCAUACGAAUAAGCAUCGGCUAACUCCGUGCCAGCAGCCGCGGUAAUACGGAGGAUGCGAGCGUUAUCCGGAUUUAUUGGGUUUAAAGGGUGCGUAGGCGGCAUUAUAAGUUAGUGGUAAAAUAUUGGGGCUUCACCUCACUACGCCAUUAAUACUGUAGAGCUAGAGAACAGACGAGGUAGGCGGAAUAAGUUAAGUAGCGGUGAAAUGCAUAGAUAUAACUUAGAACACCGAUAGCGAAGGCAGCUUACCAGACUGAGUCUGACGCUGAUGCACGAGAGCAUGGGUAGCGAACAGGAUUAGAUACCCUGGUAGUCCAUGCCGUAAACGAUGCUCACUGGCCUUAGGCGAUAUACGGUCU
RNAcentral lists this ribosomal RNA (729 nucleotides) under uncultured bacterium. RNAcentral's name for it is "bacterial SSU rRNA". It matches the Rfam family "Bacterial small subunit ribosomal RNA", at positions 111 to 839 of the family's 1533-position model. The record is from RNAcentral.